Molecule: ribosomal RNA, 253 nt
Filed under: uncultured bacterium
Lineage: Bacteria
Description: partial 16S ribosomal RNA
Rfam family: Bacterial small subunit ribosomal RNA
Source: RNAcentral
UACGGAGGGUGCAAGCGUUAUCCGGAUUCACUGGGUUUAAAGGGUGCGUAGGUGGGCAGGUAAGUCAGUGGUGAAAUCUCCGGGCUUAACCCGGAAACUGCCGUUGAUACUAUCUGUCUUGAAUAUAGUGGAGGUGAGCGGAAUAUGUCAUGUAGCGGUGAGAUGCUUAGAUAUGACAUAGAACACCCAUUGCGAAGGCAGCUCGCUACACUAUCAUUGACACUGAGGCACGAAAGCGUGGGGAUCAAACAGG